UGACAGGGAGAAAUUCCUCCUCACCUAUGGUCCAUCGGCUGAUCUGGAAGCUGAACCCUUGGAAUAAAGACACCUGCAUGCUAGUAUUUGCAAAAGGAAUGGAAAAGAACCCUUAAAUAUGACCACCACAAAUUAUCCAAAGAAUAAGAAUGGCAACAGCAAAACUAUAUUACAAGGUAUAAGUAAUACCUACAACGAGUAUAAAAGACCAGGCUAAGAAAAGGGAGUGACUACCUCUAGAUGGGGAAAUACAGAAAAAGAGAAAUACAGACAAAUUAUCUGCUUGACAUGACAUUCUUUGGAUCUUAUCAGCUCAGACAGCAUGGGCUAAUGUUCUACUGAAAUGAUCUUUUUCAAAGAGGCAUAAACCAUAGUCUUCCAAAGAGAGGCUGCUGUGGACACUCUGGAGAAUUUAUAGAAAAAAUGCCCAGGGAAAUUCCUCAACGGAAGCAUGUGUGAAUCCAGGUACCAUCUGCCCAUGAGGCCCAGCCUGUCAAGACAACCACAAUCAGCACAGACCACACCAUCCUGAGGAGACCCUCAGACUACCCUGCCCCAAGUCUGCUCUGCCAAGGAAAACAGAAGCUCCGUGAGUGCAUGGCUUGUGUCCUCUUA
Molecule: long non-coding RNA, 615 nt
Organism: Symphalangus syndactylus (siamang)
Lineage: Eukaryota; Metazoa; Chordata; Mammalia; Primates; Hylobatidae
Source: RefSeq, a predicted model, not a curated record